UACAUGUGGGGCAAGCGUUGUCCGGAAUUAUUGGGCGUAAAGAGCUCGUAGGCGGUCUGUCGCGUCGGCUGUGAAAACCCGAGGCUCAACCUCGGGCCUGCAGUCGAUACGGGCAAACUAGAGUACUGCAGGGGAGACUGGAAUUCCUGGUGUAGCGGUGAAAUGCGCAGAUAUCAGGAGGAACACCGGUGGCGAAGGCGGGUCUCUGGGCAGUAACUGACGCUGAGGAGCGAAAGCGUGGGGAGCGAACAGG
This 253-nucleotide ribosomal RNA is filed under the name uncultured bacterium. Its description in RNAcentral is "partial 16S ribosomal RNA". It matches the Rfam family "Bacterial small subunit ribosomal RNA", at positions 524 to 776 of the family's 1533-position model. The record is from RNAcentral.